CCUCCCUCUCUCCGAAUUCUCUCCGUACAGUCCCCGUCCCAAAUCGGCGUCCGGCGUCCCUCUCCGGUCGUGGGUAGUCUCCUUGCCGACGCUGCUUCACCGGAGUUCUCCUACGGUGUCCGUCGGAAACCGCAGCCCGCAGCCCAUCCCUCUCUGUGGCCGGAUCUGCCUGCUGCUGUUGAGGAAGGUAUUGUAGUUGGUGGUGGAUGCACCUUGCCGAAGGUGCUGCAUCAAGAUCCUGUCCCUUCAAGAAGUCCAGCAAAUGAGCUUAGAUGGAGACUUCGGAAGUGCUGUCCUUCCAAAUCAAGUCUGCAGCAGCUCUGAUGGCGGAAUUGUUUAAUGUAGUCUUAGCUAAUGACAAGGAUUCUUCUUCCAAAUUGGGAGCUUAUACUGUUUAUAACAAUCUGUUCAUAGCUUUCCAUAUGGCAUGUAUUAGUUAAGCCACAACUGGCAUGUAUUAUUUUGCCUUCUGUAUUUUAGUGUUUGAAACUGUCCCACUCAAAUGCUAUUUAGAAAGCAAGGAAAAGCAUGAAAUUGUAAGGCCUUGUUUCGAGUGUGUAAAUUUGAAAAUUUCAGUACAGUAGUUACUAUGUGAUUGUGCA
Molecule: long non-coding RNA, 602 nt
Organism: Alnus glutinosa
Lineage: Eukaryota; Viridiplantae; Streptophyta; Magnoliopsida; Fagales; Betulaceae
Exons: 2
Source: RefSeq, a predicted model, not a curated record